CGGAAUCUUAUUUGUUCUACGCCUCAAACUAGCAAUAGUAUGCGUCGUGGAACUGUAAGAUUUAGUGGCGAACGGGUGAGUAACACGUUGGUACCUGCCCUCUAGUGGGGAAUAACUAGCCGAAAGGUUGGCUAAUACCGCAUGUGAUCUUCGGAUCAAAGCCUUCGGGCGCUAGAGGAGGGGCCUGCGGAUGAUUAGCUAGUUGGUGAGGUAAAAGCUCACCAAGGCGACGAUCAUUAGCUGGAUCGAGAGGUUGACCAGCCACACUGGGACUGAGAUACGGCCCAGACUCCUACGGGAGGCAGCAGUGAGGAAUCUUCCACAAUGGACGAAAGUCUGAUGGAGCAAUACCGCGUGCAGGAAGACGGCUUUCGGGUUGUAAACUGCUUUUGUAUGGGAAAAUUAUGAUGGUACCAUGCGAAUAAGGACCGGCUAACUACGUGCCAGCAGCCGCGGUAAUACGUAGGGUCCAAGCGUUAUCCGGAAUUACUGGGCGUAAAGAGUAUGUAGGUGGAUGUUUAAGUGAGAUGCGAAAUCUUUCGGCUCAACCGGAAGACUGUGUCUCAUACUGGAUAUCUUGAGGUUGGCAGAGGCAAGUGGAAUUACCGGUGUAGCAGUGAAAUGCGUAGAUAUCGGUAGGAACACCAAUGGCGAAGGCAGCUUGCUGGGCCACACCUGACACUGAGAUACGAAAGCGUGGGGAGCGAACAGGAUUAGAUACCCUGGUAGUCCACGCCGUAAACGAUGCACACUAGUAGUAUGGGGUAUCGACCCCCUGUGCUGCGAAGCUAACGCGAUAAGUGUGCCGCCUGGGGAGUACGAGCGCAAGCUUAAAACUCAAAGGAA
RNAcentral lists this ribosomal RNA (846 nucleotides) under uncultured bacterium. RNAcentral's name for it is "bacterial SSU rRNA". It matches the Rfam family "Bacterial small subunit ribosomal RNA", at positions 40 to 909 of the family's 1533-position model. The record is from RNAcentral.